Molecule: unclassified non-coding RNA, 292 nt
Filed under: fungal sp.
Lineage: Eukaryota; Fungi
Description: partial contains 5.8S ribosomal RNA, internal transcribed spacer 2, and large subunit ribosomal RNA
Source: RNAcentral
CGCACCUUGCGCCCUCUGGUAUUCCGGAGGGCAUGUCUGUCUGAGUGUCUUGUGCAAACCACUCAAGCUAUUGCUUGGUUAGUGAGUGUCCUUGCCCCUUGACAAGAGGGGCUCACUCGAAAGUCAUCCACGGCUCGAGAGGCUCGAGGUCGGUCCUGGCGUGAUAGAACAUAAGUUUUUGGCCCGGAUCCAUGCCUUGCCUGUCGCACAGAUGCCGUCGUGUGCUCCCCUUAUGGAGGGCUCUCUCUAUGUGUUUGACCUCAGAUCAGGCAGGACUACCCGCUGAACUUAA